CGGCCGCGGGAUUCGAUUAGAGUUUGAUCCUGGCUCAGAACGAACGCUGGCGGCGUGCUUAACACAUGCAAGUCGAACGCGAAAGGGACUUCGGUCCUGAGUAAAGUGACGCACGGGUGAGUAACGCGUGGAUAAUCUGCCCAAUGGACUGGGAUAACAUCUCGAAAGGGGUGCUAAUACCAAAUAAGACCACGGUCUCUUCGGGGACAGAGGUCAAAGGUAGCCUCUAUUUAUAAGCUAUCGCUGAGAGAUGGGCCUGCGUACCAUUAGCUAGUUGGUGAGGUAACGGCUCACCAAGGCAAAGAUGGUUAGCUGGUCUGAGAGGAUGAUCAGCCACACUGGAACUGAGACACGGCCCAGACUCCUACGGGAGGCAGCAGUGGGGAAUAUUGCGCAAUGGGCGAAAGCCUGACGCAGCAACGCCGCGUGAGUGAUGAAGGCCUUCGGGUCGUAAAGCUCUGUCGGAGGGGACGAAUGCUCUUGAGGUUAACAGCCUCGGGAGGUGACGGUACCCUCAAAGGAAGCACCGGCUAACUCUGUGCCAGCAGCCCCGGUCAA
This 558-nucleotide ribosomal RNA is filed under the name uncultured bacterium. RNAcentral's name for it is "bacterial SSU rRNA". It matches the Rfam family "Bacterial small subunit ribosomal RNA", at positions 1 to 524 of the family's 1533-position model. The record is from RNAcentral.